This 85-nucleotide non-coding RNA is filed under the name Clostridium neonatale. RNAcentral describes it as "pan". It matches the Rfam family "pan motif". Lineage: Bacteria; Bacillati; Bacillota; Clostridia; Eubacteriales; Clostridiaceae. The record is from RNAcentral.
UGGGUAGUAUCAAGAUAGAACUACACCAGACUUUUUAUUAUUUAAUAAUACAACUCAUAUCUAGUAUAUUGAAUGAGAUUGAAAU